This 460-nucleotide ribosomal RNA is filed under the name uncultured bacterium. Its description in RNAcentral is "partial 16S ribosomal RNA". It matches the Rfam family "Bacterial small subunit ribosomal RNA", at positions 338 to 795 of the family's 1533-position model. The record is from RNAcentral.
CCUACGGGAGGCAGCAGUGAGGAAUAUUGGUCAAUGGGCGGAAGCCUGAACCAGCCAAGUCGCGUGAGGGAAUAAGGCCCUACGGGUCGUAAACCUCUUUUGCCGGGGAGCAAGGUCGUGGACGUGUCCCGGCCCGGAGAGUACCCGGAGAAAACGCAUCGGCUAACACCGUGCCAGCAGCCGCGGUAAUACGGAGGGUGCGCGCUUUAUCCGGAUUUAGUGGGUUUAAAGGGUGCGUAGGCGGGCUUUUAAGUCAGCGGGAAAUAUUCGGGGCUCAACCCCGUCCGGCCGUUGAAACUGGGGGCCGUGAGUGGGGGAGAAGAAGGCGGAAUGCGUGGUGUAGCGGUGAAAUGCAUAGAUAUCACGCAGAACCCCGAUUGCGAAGGCAGCCUUCCGGCGCCCUACUGACGCUGAGGCACGAAAGUGCGGGGAUCGAACAGGAUUAGAUACCCCAGUAGUC